Molecule: ribosomal RNA, 464 nt
Filed under: uncultured bacterium
Lineage: Bacteria
Description: partial 16S ribosomal RNA
Rfam family: Bacterial small subunit ribosomal RNA
Source: RNAcentral
GACGAACGCUGGCGGCGUGCUUAACACAUGCAAGUCGUACGGUAAGGCCCUUUCGGGGGUACACGAGUGGCGAACGGGUGAGUAACACGUGAGUAACCUGCCCACAACUUUGGGAUAACGCUAGUAAACUGGUGCUAAUACUGGAUAUGUGCUCCUGCUGCAUGGUGGGGGUUGGAAAGCUCCGGCGGUUGUGGAUGGACUCGCGGCCUAUCAUCUUGUUGGUGGGGUAGUGGCCUACCAAGGCGGCGACGGGUAGCCGGCCUGAGAGGGUGACCGGCCACAUUGGGACUGAGAUACGGCCCAGACUCCGACGGGAGGCAGCAGUGGGGAAUAUUGCACAAUGGGCGCAAGCAUGAUGCAGCAACGCCGCGUGCGGGAUGACGGCCUUCGGGUUGUAAACCGCUUUCAGCAGGGACGAAGCUUUUUGUGACGGUACCUGCAGAAGAAGCACCGGCUAACUACGU